CCUCUCUUCUCAUUCGCCCUCCUCUCCGUCGCCAUUCCUGGCCAGUCCCGUCCUCGCCUCUCCCUCUCCUCCCUCGGCUUUGGUGACAAGCAUGAGGUAUGAGAUAUUUGCUACCAGGCCCAAACAAGGCAUCGGCGAUUUGUGUGAUUGCUAUUCUCGACCACCGGAUUUUGCAUAGCGACGAAAAUAACCAUUCCCGACCCUUCUCUCCCCUCUCGUCUUCUUUCCGAUUGGUGGUCGGUGGGCAGAAGGGGGACAUGAGAGACGCCUUAAGCUUCAGUGCAGCAGCAGCGGCAACUGUACCGAAAUUACCAUUCUGCCAACUUGGUUCAUUCCCCUUUCUUGAUCUUACUAAACCCACUCUCCUCCCUUAUAAAACCUUCUAUUCACAUCCCCUCCCCUCUUCUUCUCAUCCUCCCCAUCAUCAUCUGCCCUCUCGGAAUCCCAUUUCCGCCUCUCUCCGGUUCGUCGUCGCCGCCGCCGCCGCCGCAGAGCAAGCAGCAUCCAUGGCGGCGCCAUCCGCUGCAGAGUCCAAGCCCUUCUCCGUGCUUUUCGUUUGCCUCGGCAACAUCUGCCGAAGCCCUGCCGCGGAGGCCGUGUUCAGAGACCUUGUCCGCAAGAGGGGAUUGGAGUCCAAAUUCUGGAUCGAUUCCGCCGGCACCAUCGGCUACCACGAAGGUAAUCCAGCGGACUCAAGGAUGAGGGCAGCAUCCAAAAGGCGUGGGAUCGAGGUGACUUCGAUCUCGAGGCCGAUUCGCCCCUCCGAUUUCAAGGAGUUUGAUCUCAUACUAGCCAUGGACAUG
This is a non-coding RNA of Phoenix dactylifera (date palm), 803 nucleotides long. NCBI's taxonomy places the organism in Eukaryota, Viridiplantae, Streptophyta, Magnoliopsida, Arecales, Arecaceae. The record is from RefSeq and is a predicted model, not a curated record.